AGGACGAACGCUGGCGGCGUGCUUAACACAUGCAAGUGGAGCGACGAACCAGGGCUUGCCCUGGGGCAGAGCCGCGAACGGGUGAGUAACACGUGGGUUACCUGCCUCGAUGACCGGGACAACCCGAGGAAAACUCGGGCUAAUACCGGAUGUGCCCGCAAGGGGAAAGGAAGCUUCGGCCUCCGCAUCGAGAUGGGCCCGCGGCCCAUUAGCUUGUUGGUGAGGUAACGGCUCACCAAGGCUUCGAUGGGUAGCUGGUCUGAGAGGACGAUCAGCCACACUGGGACUGAGACACGGCCCAGACUCCUACGGGAGGCAGCAGUGGGGAAUCUUGCGCAAUGCGCGAAAGCGUGACGCAGCAACGCCGCGUGGGGGAAGAAGGCUUUCGGGUUGUAAACCCCUUUCAGUUGGGACGAAGCUUCUCCGGUGAAUAGCCGGAUGGAGUGACGGUACCUUCACAAGAAGCACCGGCUAACUACGCGCCAGCAGCCGCGGU
RNAcentral lists this ribosomal RNA (496 nucleotides) under uncultured bacterium. RNAcentral describes it as "SSU rRNA". It matches the Rfam family "Bacterial small subunit ribosomal RNA", at positions 26 to 521 of the family's 1533-position model. The record is from RNAcentral.